UUGAAUAAUCGGCAAACUACUCGAAAGGGUAGGGCGCAAAGCUAUAGGGGCUACGUCUAUGCACAAUAGAUAUGCCAGCCAGUUGCCCUU
This 90-nucleotide non-coding RNA is filed under the name Anoxybacillus sp. RNAcentral describes it as "c-di-GMP sequence". It matches the Rfam family "c-di-GMP-I riboswitch aptamer". Rfam says of the family: GEMM was predicted in a large-scale screen for bacterial structured RNA regulatory elements. Genes associated with GEMM are involved in a diverse array of functions, including chemotaxis regulation, signal transduction, secretion and chitin. The record is from RNAcentral. Lineage: Bacteria; Bacillati; Bacillota; Bacilli; Caryophanales; Anoxybacillaceae.